GUCAACUUGUGGCCCAGUUCUGUGUGUCAAUUGGCCUCUAAGAAGUACCCAGCAGCCCCUGCUCAAAUCUCCUCUCCCCCUGUCCGGUGUGACCUGGGAGCCCUGUGACGCCGCUUUAUUGCUUAGGAAGUGAUGGUACACUGAAAUGUUCAGCGGUUUGCCCAUGGCCUCAGGAGAGCAAAGCUGGCCUGCCCACCUCACCGCACGACAGUGGGGUUCCCAGAGCAGUGUCCCAGGCUCCAAAAUGCUCUCUUUCUUGGUUUGACCUGUCUGCCACCAAAAGAUGAAACUCAACCAAGAGAACAUCAAGGAACCCCAGCUUCCUACCUCCACUCAUCAUUGCCAGCUGCAGCAGUCCCGAUCACGUGGUGGGGGCAACUAACAGGAUUCCGUCCAUCAGUGGCUCACCCACAGCUCCUGCAACCCCUUCCACCCUCGCGAAGGGCGCCCCCAGGUACCCAGGCGGCCAGCCGGGUGCUGGGGGUCAUUCUGGCAGUUCCCACCCUUUCCCUCACCUGACCACCACCCACUCACCCGGUCUCCCUGCCUCCCCUUCCUCAGGCCUGUGGAUUCCAGCUCUCUCCCGCCCUGUAUCCCCUCCACACACCCACUCCACAGCCCCGGCUGCACUGCUGUUUCCAGCUUCUCAACUUCUUUGAAAAAACAUUUUCA
RNAcentral lists this long non-coding RNA (672 nucleotides) under Rhinopithecus bieti (black snub-nosed monkey). RNAcentral describes it as "lncRNA (ENSRBIG00000045998.1)". The record is from RNAcentral. Lineage: Eukaryota; Metazoa; Chordata; Mammalia; Primates; Cercopithecidae.